CAGAUUAUUAUUCUAAGUGUCUGAUAACAUUAUGAAAGGAUCCCUACAGAGAUAGACCUUUUUAAACCUCUUUGAGACCUUUCUGUUUAACCAGAAACAGCUCUGAAGUCUCUAGCACUAAACCCACCAGACUCCAUUUAAAAAAACAGUACUUUUAGCGUGUAUAGAGCCAGCAUAUUUCCACAUGUAAAUCGGUUAACUAUGUGUUUAUUUCAACCAAAACUAAAGUUGUGAUGGUUGGUAAAGUGGUAAGACGACCCAAAACAGCUUUUCAUAGUUUUAUUUUGUUUCUGUCGACUUUGAAUAAAGUGUGUUUCACAAUGCUAAAAUGACUGUUUAUUUACAUGGAGUCUGGUGGCAAUUUCAGAGCUGUUUAAUGUUAAACUAAAAAGGUCUAUCUCUGUAGGGAUCCUUUCCAUAAUGUUGUCAGACACUUAGAAUAAUAAUCUGAGUCUGUCAGCAGCAACAUAACUUUUAGUUCCGAUAACGUCACAUUGCAGCUUGUGUCUUGUUCCCAUCAGUCACUUAGACACAAAAAAAUAGGGUGCAGGUUGAAAAACAAACUAUCAGUCCUGCACCAGGCGUCUCAGACCAUUUGGGGUGGGGACUCCUUCACCCUUUAUAUCCAUCGAAGAUGUUGCGAUUCAGUGAAAACGUGGAGCACUUAUGUCAGUCCCUGUCUGGCGUGAUACCUCCAGCAGUGAAACGGAAACAGCCUCAUCAUCACAAUCAAACCGAUCAAAGUCAACACAGACAUGCUGAUCAGAGGGUCACUGAGGCCGAAGAUCAAAGACGAUCCAUUGCUCCGCUGGGGGAGGGGGGGGGGAAGACAGGGG
This is a long non-coding RNA of Sander lucioperca (pikeperch), 836 nucleotides long. RefSeq lists it as uncharacterized. The transcript has 2 exons. Lineage: Eukaryota; Metazoa; Chordata; Actinopteri; Perciformes; Percidae. The record is from RefSeq and is a predicted model, not a curated record.